UCGGGAAUCUUGGACAAUGGGCGCAAGCCUGAUCCAGCCAUGCCGCGUGGAUGAUGAAGGCCUUAGGGUUGUAAAAUCCUUUCGUGGGGGACGAUAAUGACGGUACCCCAAGAAGAAGCUCCGGCUAACUUCGUGCCAGCAGCCGCGGUAAUACGAAGGGGGCUAGCGUUGUUCGGAUUUACUGGGCGUAAAGCGCGUGUAGGCGGACUUGUAAGUUGGGGGUGAAAUCCCGAGGCUCAACCUCGGAACUGCCUCCAAAACUACAAAUCUGGACCUAAGUAGAGGCAAGUGGAAUUGCGAGUGUAGAGGUGAAAUUCGUAGAUAUUCGCAGGAACACCAGUGGCGAAGGCGACUUGCUGGACUUAUGGUGACGCUGAGACGCGAAAGCGUGGGGAGCAAACAGGAUUAGAUACCCCCGUAGUCCCUGAGCGGGCUGGCAAGGCGCAU
This 447-nucleotide ribosomal RNA is filed under the name uncultured bacterium. RNAcentral describes it as "bacterial SSU rRNA". It matches the Rfam family "Bacterial small subunit ribosomal RNA", at positions 355 to 825 of the family's 1533-position model. The record is from RNAcentral.